CUAUCCAAAUGUGUGUUAUAAUGUUACUGUACAAUUAGUACUAUAGUGAUAAACGGUUUGCGUAAUAGUCUUUAUGGACCAGGGGGCGGUACCCUGCGUCUCCACCAUGAUUAGUAUUAUAUAUAUGAUAUAUGUACAGUAUUGUAGUAUUGAGUACUAAAUAGUAAUUGGCAAUAUAUGAUUGUUAUUAGUAUUUACUAUCAUAUGUUCACACAGUAAUAUACGGGGACGAAAUAGGUUCGACAUAAAGAAAUAAAGGUUUAUCUUUCACUCGGCAUUGUAUCCGUCGUUAUCGGGCUAAAAAAUUAUAAAUGCCAAUAAAAAUGGUAUUGUCUCUCAGAGGAGAGCUGCAAAAAAUCAUAAUGUGAAAGUUGCUAACCGUAAUAUUAUGAUGAAUACACCUAUGAAAAAGGUUGUUAAUCGUUAAUUAAUUCUUUUUUAAGAUUAAUUAACUUAUUGCAGUGCUGUUAUGUUAAAAUAACAGUAACAUAGCGGUUUGGAGGGAACCGGGCAACAGAAUCCCUCC
RNAcentral lists this transfer-messenger RNA (526 nucleotides) under bovine gut metagenome. RNAcentral's name for it is "Alphaproteobacteria transfer-messenger RNA". The stretch from base 29 to 318 matches the Rfam family "Alphaproteobacteria transfer-messenger RNA", at positions 40 to 236 of the family's 355-position model. Rfam says of the family: Bacterial tmRNA, also known as 10Sa RNA or SsrA, is named for its dual tRNA and mRNA-like properties. Its role is to liberate the mRNA from a stalled ribosome. To accomplish this part of the tmRNA is used as a reading frame that ends in a translation stop signal. The record is from RNAcentral.